This 158-nucleotide unclassified non-coding RNA is filed under the name uncultured Borrelia sp. Its description in RNAcentral is "partial miscellaneous RNA". The record is from RNAcentral. Lineage: Bacteria; Pseudomonadati; Spirochaetota; Spirochaetia; Spirochaetales; Borreliaceae.
AGUUAUUGCCAGGGUUUUUAUUUGUACUUUAAAUAUUGAGUUCAAUUUUUAAAUGUUCAUAUUUUUGAAUGCUUUAUUCAAAUAAUGUAAAAAAUAAAAUAGAUAUUGACAUGGAUUGAACAAAGAUAUAUAUUAUUCUAUGUUGCUAAACAAAUUGG